This 89-nucleotide transfer RNA is filed under the name Microcaldota archaeon. Its description in RNAcentral is "tRNA-Gly". It matches the Rfam family "tRNA". Rfam says of the family: Transfer RNA (tRNA) molecules are approximately 80 nucleotides in length. Lineage: Archaea; Nanobdellati; Microcaldota. The record is from RNAcentral.
GCGGCCGUAAUCUAGCCUGGUGGGCUUGCCGGGAAGUAGGAUCUGAGCUUCCCAAGCUCAUUGCCCGGGUUCAAAUCCCGGCGGCCGCA